Molecule: transfer RNA, 66 nt
Filed under: Schlechtendalia chinensis (horned gall aphid)
Lineage: Eukaryota; Metazoa; Arthropoda; Insecta; Hemiptera; Aphididae
Also listed under: 1 other name
Description: tRNA-Asp
Source: RNAcentral
AAAAAAUUAGUUAAAAUUAAAAUAACAUUAAUUUGUCAAAUUAAAAUUAUUAUAAAAUAUUUUUUA